This 467-nucleotide ribosomal RNA is filed under the name uncultured bacterium. Its description in RNAcentral is "partial 16S ribosomal RNA". It matches the Rfam family "Bacterial small subunit ribosomal RNA", at positions 28 to 506 of the family's 1533-position model. The record is from RNAcentral.
GACGAACGCUGGCGGCGUGCUUAACACAUGCAAGUCGAACGGAAAGGCCCUGCUUUUGUGGGGUGCUCGAGUGGCGAACGGGUGAGUAACACGUGAGUAACCUGCCCUUGACUUUGGGAUAACUUCAGGAAACUGGGGCUAAUACCGGAUAGGAGCUCCUGCUGCAUGGUGGGGGUUGGAAAGUUUCGGCGGUUGGGGAUGGACUCGCGGCUUAUCAGCUUGUUGGUGGGGUAGUGGCUUACCAAGGCUUUGACGGGUAGCCGGCCUGAGAGGGUGACCGGCCACAUGGGAACGGAGAUACGGCCCAGACUCCUACGGGAGGCAGCAGUGGGGAUUAUUGCACAAUGGGCGGAAGCCUGAUGCAGCAACGCCGCGUGCGGGAUGACGGCCUUCGGGUUGUAAACCGCUUUCGCCUGUGACGAAGCGUGAGUGACGGUAAUGGGUAAAGAAGCACCGGCUAACUACGU